UUUGUUUUUUCUUUUUUUUCUUUGAAGGCUCUCACUGGAUAUUGUUCUUCCAAAGAUUCAGAUGACUGGUUGGGUAAAAGUCCUUGAGCAAAAUUGUGUACUGUUUGUGCCAGAUGUGUGGAGGAAUUGAUUUGCUCACUGUAAGCAAAAUAGCUGCUCUUGGUCGAAGGACUGGUCUGUGUAGAACAGCAUAUUUCUUGCCAUGUUUCUCCUUCCAGCUCUUCCUCAAAACUCUUCCUGUGCUAUCCACUGACACCUUUCUAGUCCCCACUCAUCUGCUCGAAUCUCUAAAACAUGUGACUCAUGUUCCAUUUUUAUAUUCAUCUUCAUAUGACUCCUAAAUCUUUCUGUGUGCAUUUUUGUUUGUUUUCUCAUUGGGUUGUAAAUGAGCUGUUGUCACAUCUGGUUUCUUGGGUAGGACUUUGGGCUUUCAGUUACACACCGAGUAAUUCUUCCCUCCUUUUCUGGUUUA
Neopelma chrysocephalum (saffron-crested tyrant-manakin) is the source of this 472-nucleotide long non-coding RNA. RefSeq lists it as uncharacterized. NCBI's taxonomy places the organism in Eukaryota, Metazoa, Chordata, Aves, Passeriformes, Pipridae. The record is from RefSeq and is a predicted model, not a curated record. The transcript has 3 exons.